RNAcentral lists this small nuclear RNA (18 nucleotides) under Arabidopsis thaliana (thale cress). RNAcentral's name for it is "snRNA_09043". The record is from RNAcentral. Lineage: Eukaryota; Viridiplantae; Streptophyta; Magnoliopsida; Brassicales; Brassicaceae.
CUCGGGAGCUUUCCCCGG